AAGAGUGAAAGAAGCAGCAACAUACUUACCUGAAAAAACGAAAAAAAACGAAGUAUACUUACCUGACGUAGAAACGGGGGAUGAAACUAACACAAACCUACCUCAAUUGGAUGGUGUCCUAAAGUCGCAGCAACGUGAUGUAAGUUUUGAACCCAUCAUACACGAUCAGACACAUACAUCUGAAAAGACCAAAGUCUUAGAGAAUAGCUCAUCAGCUCUGUCGGAAACAGAGAGCUCACUUCGUCCUGUCUCAGUUGAGAAUCAAACCGAAACGGAUGAGCAUGAUACUGUGCAACCAGAGAUGUAUGUCAGGAGAUCUGAACGAAGUAGUCAGCCUCCUCAAAGACUAACUUACUCUCAAUUGGGCAAUCCACUAGUGACCGUAGUUAGGUCCCUUUUCCAAGGACUUAAUAAAGCUUUUAUUGACUCUCUUACUCAAGAAGUUGUGUACCCCGUAGAAACAAUGCACAGGGCCGUGCAUGAUAUUUAAUGGGGGAGGAUGUAACCCAGAAGCUAGAACCUUAAUGAGGUAUUAACUAAUUGGCUUACUAAUAUGAUCCAUCCUCAAUUUAGAUAAAAUAUAAAAUAUAAAUUAAGGAAAUUAACAAUACUAAUUAAUAGAUAUCUAAUUAACUAAUAGAUAAUUUCAUAAUGAAUUAUUGGAAGGGUGAAUAACUAAAAUAACGAGUUUAAUAUUAAACAUCGGUUAAAACAAGAAUCUUGAACAUCACUAACAGAAACAGAAGAGGAAAGCUGUAUACUAUUGGUCCAGGUGGGAAUCUGAAAUUUCAUUGGCUGAGAGAAAUAAGUCCCGCCUCCGCGAAAUAAAACCGUGCGACGCAGCUGAGCGAGAGGAGAGACAAACGGCUGUGCAGCACGCAGAUACAGAAAGCAAAGACUGAGCGGUUAGAGAGAGAGAGAGAGAAAAAAAAAACAACGGUCGAGGCCGUGAAGAACCCUGAUUUGGGUGCCGCAUAGAUAGAGGGAGAGGCGGACUUGACUCCUUCUAAUAAGAGCUAGGAACUUGGAACCAACGCGAUUUGUGUGGAGACGACAGAGUGAACCAAUCCUCUGUAGGAGGGAACCGUUGGAGCGCGUUGGUGAGUGAAUGAGAUUAAAUUCAGUAAAUUAUUAAAUUCAAAAAGCUAAUUACAGCAACCGAGGUGACAGCAGUGGGCUGCUAGACGUUAGAUCCCAGGAGUUAACAUCUCAAACUACCAGUUAACGGUGGUAGGGCAUAUAGGAGUUAACGGCUCAAACCGCCAGUUAACGGCGGUACGGCAUAUAGGAUUCCCAGGAGUUAACGGCUCAAACCGCCAGUUAACGGUGGUACGGCCUAGAUGUACAAGGUCCUCAGGGGCGUUAUAGCUAACGCCAUAGAAUUAGCAAUGCGUCCCUUAACCAAACAUUUAAUAAUAAAAAAAAUAGAUAAAUAAAAAUAAAUAAAAGCUAACUGAUUAGGGAGGAAUUAUUUUACAAAGGUGGACCAAAGGACAAGAAUUUAUAUUUUGUUGAAUUUUGUUAUAGAACAUUUUAUUUAUUUAUUUAUUUAUUUAUUUAUUUAUUUAUUUAUUUAUUGUGUUACAAAUAUACAAGGUGUCACAAUGCUGUAUAGAAACACAACUAAAUGUAUCCUUGUUGUCAUGAAUGUAUUUCUUGUUGAAUAGUGUAGAGUAAUAGAAUCUAACUGAGCCUAUUGAGCUGAACAAUUGUUGUCAUAUGUAAUUAUAUUUCCAGAGCUACUGAGAAUUAUUUUAAUAGACAAUCAAAUUGAUGUUAUGUUAGUUGAACUGUGAACCCAAACAUGAUUGGCUAUGCCAAUAGAGUGAAGCAUUUGUUUAAGUCUGUAAGACUUUAUGCUGUGAUGUGACGAGAAGGGUCGAUGCCAACUCGCUAACAGUCCUGUUGUUUACAGGCUGGGUUUUUUUUUUCUUGGGUUUGAUCCCGACUCCUAUGAUCACUCACUUGGAACGAGAACUGGAUUUCUUCCUGACGAGGGAGAUGGCGAGCCUUAACCACUGAACGAACCAGGACAUCUCAAGUAACUGAAGAGCAGACUGCUCUCUUCUGUGAACAAUCUCAAAGGUGCGGUAGGAAAAAAUCGCACCACCGGACUCUGACUUUCACCCCAAGCGUGGGGAUUUGACUUGACGCCGGCUGACUUGUGACUCAUAUGAUCAAAUCUCAUACCGAGCAUUUUACUAUUGUCGAUUGUUUUCAUCUGUUUUUGUGUGUUAUCUUUAUGUGUUAUAUUUCCCAUUAUUAUUAAGAUUUAGUAUAUAAACCGUUUCAUGCUAUA
Non-coding RNA from Nothobranchius furzeri (turquoise killifish), 2299 nucleotides. NCBI's taxonomy places the organism in Eukaryota, Metazoa, Chordata, Actinopteri, Cyprinodontiformes, Nothobranchiidae. The record is from RefSeq and is a predicted model, not a curated record.